This is a non-coding RNA of Picea glauca (white spruce), 119 nucleotides long. Lineage: Eukaryota; Viridiplantae; Streptophyta; Pinopsida; Pinales; Pinaceae. The record is from Rfam.
GGGUGCAAUCAUACCAGCGUUAAUGCACCGAAUCCCAUCAGAACAACGCAGUUAAGCGCACUUGGGCUAGAGUAGUACUGGGAUGGGCGACCUCCCGUGAAGUCCUAGUGUUGCACCCU